GACAGCAGUAGCCGCGGUAAUACGGAGGGUGCAAGCGUUAAUCGGAAUUACUGGGCGUAAAGCGCACGCAGGCGGUCUGACAAGUCAGAUGUGAAAUCCCCGGGCUUAACCUGGGAACUGCAUUUGAAACUGUCAGGCUGGAGUCUUGUAGAGGGGGGUGGAAUUCCAGGUGUAGCGGUGAAAUGCGUAGAGAUCUGGAGGAAUACCGGUGGCGAAGGCGGCCCCCUGGACAAAGACUGACGCUCAGGUGCGAAAGCGUGGGGAGCAAACAGGAUUAGAUACCCGAGUAGUCCCUGUCUCUUAUAC
RNAcentral lists this ribosomal RNA (306 nucleotides) under uncultured bacterium. RNAcentral's name for it is "partial 16S ribosomal RNA". It matches the Rfam family "Bacterial small subunit ribosomal RNA", at positions 507 to 807 of the family's 1533-position model. The record is from RNAcentral.